RNAcentral lists this ribosomal RNA (1437 nucleotides) under metagenome. RNAcentral's name for it is "bacterial SSU rRNA". It matches the Rfam family "Archaeal small subunit ribosomal RNA". The record is from RNAcentral.
UCCCGUUGAUCCUGCGGGAGAUUGCUGCUAUUGGGAUUCGAUUUAGCCAUGCAAGUCAAAGGGUCGCAAGACACUGGCGGACUGCUCAGUAACACGUCGAUAACUUCACCUUUGGUCUGGGAUAGCGUUGGGAAACUGACGGUAAACCCGGAUAGAAGAUUAGUACUGGAAUGUUUGUUCUUUGAAAAGCAAUGCCAAAGGAUAGGUCGGCGGCUGAUUAGGUAGUUGGUGAGGUAACGGCUCACCAAGCCUUGGAUCAGUAGGGGCCAUGAGAGUGGGAGCCCCGAGAGGGGUACUGAGACACUUACCCCAGCCCUACGGGGUGCAGCAGGCGCGAAACCUCUACACUGUACGAAAGUGCGAUAGGGGAAUCCCAAGUGCUUAUACUUUUUGUAUAAGCUUUUGCUAAGCGUAAAUAACUUGGCGAAUAAGUGGUGGGAAAGACUGGUGCCAGCCGCCGCGGUAAUCCCAGCGCCACAAGUGGCAAUCGCCUUUAUUGGGCCUAAAGCGUCCGUAGCAGGUUUUGUAAAUCUCUUGUGAAAGCGUUAUACUCAAUAUAACGAAUGGCAAGAGAAACUGCAAGACUAGGAACCGGGAGGAGUUAGGGGUAUUCUUGGGGGAGCGGUAAAAUGUUAUAAUCCCAAGAGGACCACCUGUGGCGAAGGCGCCUAACUAGAACGGAUUCGACUGUGAGGGACGAAAGCCAGGGGAGCAAUCCGGAUUAGAUACCCGAGUAGUCCUGGCCGUAAACGCUGUGAGCUAGGUGUGUCGCAUUCUUCGCGAAUGCGACGUGUCGGAGUGAAGAUGUUAAGCUCACCGCCUGGGAAGUACGGUCGCAAGACUGAAACUUAAAGGAAUUGGCGGGGGAGCACUACAAGGGGUGCGGCGUGCGGUUUAAUCGGAUUCUACGCCGAGAACCUUACCAGGAACGACGGCAGUAUGACAGUCAGUCUAAAGGGCUUACUUGACGAGCCGAGAGGUAGUGCAUGGCCGCCGUCAGCUCGUGCCGUAAGGUGUCCUGUUAAGUCAGGUAACGAGCGAGACCUGUACCUACAAUUGCCAUCAGGUAUUUCGAUACGACUGGGCACAAUGUAGGGACUGCCUUGGAAACAAGGAGGAAGGUGCAGGCAACGGUAGGUCUGUAUGCUCCGAAUUCUCUGGGCUACACGCGCGCAACAAUGGUAGAGACAAUGGGACGCAACACCGAAAGGUGAGGCCAAGCCUCGAACCUCUAUUCAAGUUCAGAUUGAGGGUUGCAACUCACCCUCAUGACGUUGGAAUCCCUAGUAAUCAGACGUUAUCAUCGUCUGGUGAAUAUGUCCCUGCUCCUUGCACACACCGCCCGUCAAACCAACCGAGCAGGGUUCAGGUGAGCUGUGAUCUUUUUGAUCACAUCGAACCUAAGCUCAGUGAGGUGGGUUAAGUCGUCACAAGGUA